RNAcentral lists this ribosomal RNA (440 nucleotides) under uncultured bacterium. RNAcentral describes it as "partial 16S ribosomal RNA". It matches the Rfam family "Bacterial small subunit ribosomal RNA", at positions 338 to 795 of the family's 1533-position model. The record is from RNAcentral.
CCUACGGGUGGCUGCAGUGGGGAAUAUUGCACAAUGGGGGAAACCCUGAUGCAGCGACGCCGCGUGAGUGAAGAAGUAAUUCGGUAUGUAAAGCUCUAUCAGCAGGGAAGAAAAUGACGGUACCUGAGUACGCAGCCCCGGCUAACUCCGUGCGAGCAGCCGCGGUCAUACGUAGGGGACAAGCGUUAGCCGGAUUUACUGGGUGUAACGGGAGCGUAGACGGCAGUGCAAGUCUGGAGUGAAAGGGGGGGGCUCAACCCCGGGACUGCUCUGGAAACUGUACGGCUGGAGUGCAGGAGAGGUAAGUGGAAUUCCUAGUGUAGCGGUGAAAUGCGUAGAUAUUAGGAGGAACACCAGUGGCGAAGGCGGCUUACUGGACUGUAACUGACGUUGAGGCUCGAAAGCGUGGGGAGCAAACAGGAUUAGAUACCCGAGUAGUC